Long non-coding RNA from Oncorhynchus tshawytscha (Chinook salmon), 1624 nucleotides. Lineage: Eukaryota; Metazoa; Chordata; Actinopteri; Salmoniformes; Salmonidae. The record is from Ensembl.
GGACGGCUCAUAAUGUCAGGAGUGGAAGGGUUGUAAAACCACAGGAGGCUGUUGGGGAGGACGGCUCAUAAUGUCAGGAGUGGAAGGGUUGUAAAACAGAAGGGAACUAUGUGUUUGAUACCAGUCACUUCACCACAUUCCUCCCAUCACUAUGAGCCCUUCCUCCCCAAUUAAUAAGGUGCCCCCAGUCGCAUGUGGUGUGGUACAAAAUACUAUAUGUACCGUGUUAGUGGUGUUAUAUAAAUACUAUAUGUACCGUGGCUGUGUAAUUAGUGAAUCAUUUGGAUAUACUGUAUGUAGUAGAAAAUACUAAUAGUACCGUGUUAGUGGUGAUAUAUAAAUACUAUAUGUACAAAUAAUUAAAAAAAAUAAUUGUAAGGAUAAUUAUCAGCUUUGGCUAGAAGAGCCACACUAAUGUCGGGAUUCAAUCCCAUGGUGCUUUGUCAACAACGCACCAUUUAAACCUUUCCGAUUGAACCAACAUGCAGCGAGGAAUGUGGUCUCCCCGACAGGUGCGGACUUUGCCUAUGAAUGACGUUAAUGGCGUUGUUGACGAAGCGCAGUCAGAUUGAAUCGGGGACUAACAGUGAUCUGGUUUAGUACAGGUGGACUUUAAUUAAAGGGGCAAUGCAGGAUUCAAAAGAACAACAAAGUGUUCUCCGUUAUCAUCCAAUCCCAGAUCAGGAUUAUUUAUUUAUUAGUUAUCAUUCGCUAAGAAGUCAAAAAACAGAUGUGGUCCGACCAAUCCCAGAUCAGGAUUAUUUACAUACAUAGUUUGUGAGGCACUAAUAUGGAUUUACAUAUUCCAUUACCAGGCACUUUUUAUCCACAUCAACUUUCAGUCAGUCAGUCAUUUUUACAUAUGGGGAGGCCCCAGGAAUCAAACCCACAAUCCUGGUGUUGUAAAUGCUCUACCAACUGAACCACAGAGGACAGGCUCUACCAACUGAGUCCACAGAGGACAGGUUCUACCAGCUGAGUCACAGAGGACAGGUUCUACCAACUGAACCACAGAGGACAGGUUCUACCAACUGAGCGACAGAGGACAGGCUCUACCAACUGAGCCACAGAGGACAGGCUCUACCAACUGAGUUACAGAGGACAGGUUCUACCAACUGAGCCACAGAGGACAGGUUCUACCAACUGAGUCACAGAGGACAGGUUAUACCAACUGAACCCACAGAGGACAGGUUCUACCAACUGAGCGACAGAGGACAGGCUCUACCAACUGAACCACAGAGGACAGGUUCUACCAACUGAGUCACAGAUGACAGGUUCUACCAACUGAGUUACAGAGGACAGGUUCUACCAACUGAGUCACAGAGGACAGGUUCUACCAACUGAGUCACAGAGGACAGGUUCUACCAACUGAGUUACAGAGGACAGGUUCUACCAACUGAGUCCACAGAGGACAGGUUCUACCAUAGAACUACAUUUUUAGAUAUGCUAAUAUCUCCUCUCACUUUUUCUUUCCCUCCCUCCAACUGUCUCCCCCUCUUUUUCUCUCCCUCUCUCCCACACCUCUCUCGGUCUCUUUCUCUCCCACUAUCCUCCCCUUUCUCUCUCCCUCUCUCCCACACCUCUCUCAGUCUCUUUCUCUCCCACUAUCCCCCCCUCUCUCCCC